AUGGGUUGUAGCUGGCCUUCCGAGGCAUGUGCACACCCUGCUCAUCCGCUCUACACCUGUGCACUUACUGUAGGUGACCUUUGGGAGGGCUGGCUUUGCUGGCUUUCCUUCGGGUUGCUUACGUUUCACUACAAACGCUUCAGUAUCAGAAUGUGUAUUGCGAUGUAACGCAUCUAUAUACAACUUUCAGCAACGGAUCUCUUGGCUCUCGCAUCGAUGAAGAACGCAGCGAAAUGCGAUAAGUAAUGUGAAUUGCAGAAUUCAGUGAAUCAUCGAAUCUUUGAACGCACCUUGCGCUCCUUGGUAUUCCGAGGAGCAUGCCUGUUUGAGUGUCAUGAAUCUCUCAACCUAUAAGUCCUUGUGACUUGUAGGAUUGGACUUGGAGGCUUGCUGGCGGGUUUAUGACUUUGUCGGCUCCUCUCAAAUGCAUUAGCUUGGUUCCUUGCGGAUCGGCUCUCAGUGUGAUAAUUGUCUACGCUGUGACCGUGAAGCGUUUGGCUAGCUUCUAACUGUCUCUCUAGAGACACUUAUAUCUGACCUCUGACCUCAAAUCAGGUAG
Molecule: ribosomal RNA, 559 nt
Filed under: Agaricomycetes sp. India01
Lineage: Eukaryota; Fungi; Basidiomycota; Agaricomycetes
Description: eukaryotic LSU rRNA
Rfam family: 5.8S ribosomal RNA (bases 182-335)
Source: RNAcentral